UUCGGAGAGGGAGCAUGAGAAACGGCUACCACAUCUAAGGAAGGCAGCAGGCGCGUAAAUUACCCAAUCCUGACUCAGGGAGGUAGUGACAAGAAAUAGCAAACCGGGGACCUCACGGUCUCACGGUAUUGCAAUGAGAACAAGUUAAAACUCUUAGCGAGGAACAAGUGGAGGACAAGUCUGGUGCCAGCACCCGCGGUAAUUCCAGCUCCACUAGCGUAUACUAAAGUUGUUGCAGUUAAAAAGCUCGUAGUUGAAUUUCUGCAUGGGGCUAGUUUUGACUUCUGUCUGGCUAGUCCCAUGCAUCCGCUUGCAAGACCUGGAGGGCAUUCACUUGUCGCCAGGAGGAGUAGGCUUUUUACUUUGAAAAAAUUAGAGUGUUUAAGGCAGGCAAUCGCCCGCAUAUAUUAGCAUGGAAUAGUAGAAUAGGACACUUUUCCAUUUCGUUGGUUAUUGGAAUCGUGUAAUGAUUAAUAGGGACAGUUGUGGGCAUUUGUAUUUAAUUGUCAGAGGUGAAAUUCUUGGAUUUAUUAAAGACAAACUAACGCGAAAGCAUUUGCCAAGGAUGUUUUCAUUAAUCAAGAACGAAAGUUAGGGGAUCAAAGACGAUCAGAUACCGUCCUAGUCUUAACUAUAAACUAUUCCGACUCAAUGUUUGACUGGCCCCUUUAACCAGUUGAGCGUUGUAUGAGAAAUCAAAGUCUUUAGGUUCUGGGGGGAGUAUGGUUGCAAAGCUGAAACUUAAAGGAAUUGACGGAAGAGCACAACCAGGAGUGGAUUCUGCGGCUUAAUUCGACUCAACACGGGGAAACUUACCAGGUUAAAACAAUAGUGGGAUUGACAGCUUGAGAGCGCUUUCUUGAUUGGUUGGGUGGUGGUGCAUGGCCGUUCUUAGUUGGUGGAGUGAUUUGUCUGCUUAAUUGCGUUAACGAACGAGACCUUAACCUGCUUACUAGACUGGCGAUGCACAAUCGUCAGCUCUUCUUAGAGGGACUUUGGUUGUUUUAACUCCAAGGAAGUUUGAGGCAAUAACAGGUCUGUGAUGCCCUUAGAUAUCCUGGGCCGCACGCGUCAUACAAUGACUAGUUCAGAAAGUUUCAUCCUGACCCGGAAGGGGCUGGGUAAUCUUGUCAGUACUAGUCGUAUUAGGGAUAGAUCUUUGCAAUUAUAGAUCUUGAACGAGGAAUUCCUAGUAAGUGCGGUUCAUCAGACCGUACUGAUUACGUCCCUGCUCUUUGUACACACCGCCCGUCGCUUCUACUGAGUGAGUGGUCCGGUGAGAUACUUGGAUCAAGCGGGUUUACCCGAUUUGAGAAGAUUAUCAAACCUAUCCACUUCGAGGAAGAAGAAGUCGUAACAAGGUU
RNAcentral lists this ribosomal RNA (1364 nucleotides) under metagenome. RNAcentral describes it as "SSU rRNA". It matches the Rfam family "Eukaryotic small subunit ribosomal RNA", at positions 382 to 1801 of the family's 1831-position model. The record is from RNAcentral.